UGACUGCCUGCCUGAAAAUUUGUCUCAAACCUUUCAUAGUGUAGGUGAGCAAAGUUUCAGGUGUGUUGUCUU
Molecule: non-coding RNA, 72 nt
Organism: Ixodes scapularis (black-legged tick)
Lineage: Eukaryota; Metazoa; Arthropoda; Arachnida; Ixodida; Ixodidae
Source: Rfam